AUUGAACGCUGGCGGCAGGCCUAACACAUGCAAGUCGAGCGGAUGAAGGGAGCUUGCUCCUGGAUUCAGCGGCGGACGGGUGAGUAAUGCCUAGGAAUCUGCCUGGUAGUGGGGGAUAACGUCCGGAAACGGGCGCUAAUACCGCAUACGUCCUGAGGGAGAAAGUGGGGGAUCUUCGGACCUCACGCUAUCAGAUGAGCCUAGGUCGGAUUAGCUAGUUGGGAGGGUAAAGGCCUACCAAGGCGACGAUCCGUAACUGGUCUGAGAGGAUGAUCAGUCACACUGGAACUGAGACACGGUCCAGACUCCUACGGGAGGCAGCAGUGGGGAAUAUUGGACAAUGGGCGAAAGCCUGAUCCGGCCAUGCCGCGUGUGUGAAGAAGGUCUUCGGAUUGUAAAGCACUUUAAGUUGGGAGGAAGGGCAGUAAGUUAAUACCUUGCUGUUUUGACGGUACCAACAGAAUAAGCACCGGCUAACUUCGUG
This 484-nucleotide ribosomal RNA is filed under the name uncultured bacterium. Its description in RNAcentral is "partial 16S ribosomal RNA". It matches the Rfam family "Bacterial small subunit ribosomal RNA", at positions 30 to 507 of the family's 1533-position model. The record is from RNAcentral.